GCCAGCAUGGUGUAGUGGUUUGAGCAUUGGAUUAUGACUCUAGAGACCAGGGUUUGAUUCCCCAGAUGGCC
RNAcentral lists this transfer RNA (71 nucleotides) under Phrynosoma platyrhinos (Desert horned lizard). Its description in RNAcentral is "tRNA-OTHER". The record is from RNAcentral. Lineage: Eukaryota; Metazoa; Chordata; Lepidosauria; Squamata; Phrynosomatidae.